RNAcentral lists this ribosomal RNA (254 nucleotides) under uncultured bacterium. Its description in RNAcentral is "partial 16S ribosomal RNA". It matches the Rfam family "Bacterial small subunit ribosomal RNA", at positions 524 to 776 of the family's 1533-position model. The record is from RNAcentral.
UACGUAGGGUGCGAGCGUUGUCCGGAAUUAUUGGGCGUAAAGAGCUCGUAGGCGGUGUGUCACGUCGGCCGUGAAAACCUGCAGCUUAACUGUGGGCGUGCGGUCGAUACGGGCAUCACUGGAGUUCGGCAGGGGAGACUGGAAUUCCUGGUGUAGCGGUGAAAUGCGCAGAUAUCAGGAGGAACACCGGUGGCGAAGGCGGGUCUCUGGGCCGAUACUGACGCUGAGGAGCGAAAGCGUGGGGAGCAAUCAGG